UACGUAGGGGGCGAGCGUUGUCCGGAAUUACUGGGUGUAAAGGGUGAGUAGGCGGCAUGGUAAGCCAGAUGUGAAAGCCUUGGGCUUAACCCGAGGAUUGCAUUUGGAACUAUCAAGCUAGAGUACAGGAGAGGAAAGCGGAAUUCCUGGUGUAGCGGUGAAAUGCGUAGAUAUUAGGAAGAACACCAGUGGCGAAGGCGGCUUACUGGACAGUAACUGACGUUGAGGCUCGAAAGCGUGGGGAGCAAACAGG
This 253-nucleotide ribosomal RNA is filed under the name uncultured Eubacteriales bacterium. RNAcentral describes it as "uncultured Clostridiales bacterium partial 16S ribosomal RNA". It matches the Rfam family "Bacterial small subunit ribosomal RNA", at positions 524 to 776 of the family's 1533-position model. Lineage: Bacteria; Bacillati; Bacillota; Clostridia; Eubacteriales. The record is from RNAcentral.